UACGUAGGCAGCAAGCGUUGUUCGGAAUUACUGGGCGUAAAGAGUGUGUAGGCGGUGCUCUAAGUCUGUUGUGAAAUCUCCCGGCUUAACCGGGAGGGUGCGGCGGAAACUGGAGUGCUUGAGGGUGGGAGAGGUAAGCGGAAUUCCUGGUGUAGCGGUGAAAUGCGCAGAUAUCAGGAGGAACACCAAUGGCGAAGGCAGCUCGCUGGGACGUGACUGACGCUGAGACGCGAAAGCGUGGGGAGCAAACAGG
This 253-nucleotide ribosomal RNA is filed under the name uncultured bacterium. Its description in RNAcentral is "partial 16S ribosomal RNA". It matches the Rfam family "Bacterial small subunit ribosomal RNA", at positions 524 to 776 of the family's 1533-position model. The record is from RNAcentral.